CCUACGGGAGGCAGCAGUGGGGAAUCUUGCGCAAUGGGCGAAAGCCUGACGCAGCAACGCCGCGUGCGGGAAGAAGGCUUUCGGGCUGUAAACCGCUUUCAGCAGGAACGAAAAUGACGGUACCUGCAGAAGAAGGAGCGGCCAACUAUGUGCCAGCAGCCGCGGUGAUACAUAGGCUUCAAGCGUUGUCCGGAUUUAUUGGGCGUAAAGAGUUCGUAGGCGGUCGAGUAAGUCGGGUGUGAAAAUUCUGGGCUCAACCCAGAGACGCCACCCGGAUACUGCUUAACUUGAGUUCGAUAGGGGAGUGGGGAAUUCCUAGUGUAGCGGUGAAAUGCGCAGAUAUUAGGAGGAACACCGGUGGCGAAGGCGCCACUCUGGAUCGAUACUGACGCUGAGGAACGAAAGCAUGGGUAGCAAACAGGAUUAGAUACCCUGGUAGUCCAUGCCGUAAACGGUGGGCACUAGGUGUGGGAUUCUAUUAACGAAUUCCGCGCCGUCGCUAACGCAUUAAGUGCCCCGCCUGGGGGUAGGUACGGUCGCAGACUAAACUACAAGAAGUAGUAGACGNGNGAGAGCGACGACGACGACGACGGAGGAGGAG
Molecule: ribosomal RNA, 601 nt
Filed under: uncultured bacterium
Lineage: Bacteria
Description: bacterial SSU rRNA
Rfam family: Bacterial small subunit ribosomal RNA (bases 1-521)
Source: RNAcentral